Molecule: long non-coding RNA, 799 nt
Organism: Ornithodoros turicata
Lineage: Eukaryota; Metazoa; Arthropoda; Arachnida; Ixodida; Argasidae
Exons: 3
Source: RefSeq, a predicted model, not a curated record
AGUUCAUCUGGUCGGCCACCGGAGAUGUAGUGCUGUGAAGAUUCAGCGUACAAUUCCUGCGGCGUCCAAGAACUUCAAAAGUUGUGAAACAAAACGUGAUGUCGAAACAAACAGACAACCUGGUCGCGAGGAACUCAAGAUACGGGACCUCGUGUUCUCUAUAGCCGAUCCUGCUCACGGAUGUCUCUUCAGCAUGCAAUUGACGUAAAGGCGACGACCGCCAAGUCUGGCCUCCCGGCCGGCACCUGGCUCAGCCCUGAAGCCGAGCAGUCCAGCUUGAGGACAUCCGGAGGCCCAGAACAACGGCAUGACAGCACCGCAGAACCGCAGGGGUGUUCCCCGCUGGACCUCGUCGCCCGCGGCAACAACGUCACUAACAGGAACAGGACGCUCCACGGCAACAUCACAUGGCUGGCGGAACACAAGGAGCACGCGUCGCUCACCACACACACACGCACGCACACACAACGGGCAACACCCGCUGCCGGCCGCCUGCCCGCACGGUUGGCCCUUGACGUCAUCGAUGACGUCGACAAGGAAGGGGGCGCUUCCGCUCGCAUGACAGCGUGGUUUCGGUUUCGUGCGCGCAAUCGAUGAGGGAGAGAGAGGAGUAUUUGCAUGGGCACCGGGGGGCAAGAGAGACUCUCUACUCCUUUCUGUGUUUGUGAAUUCUCGGCAGGCUUCGAGAAAUUGACAAGAGUAGUACUUCGUUCCGUGCCCUACAAAACAGACAUGUAGCGCUGCUCGUUCUUUGCUCAAUAUACUUCGAUGCUUCGAUAAAAGGAACCCAUCUUGGCGC